UGGGGAAUUGUUCGCAAUGGGCGCAAGCCUGACGACGCAACGCCGCGUGGAGGAUGAAGGUCUUCGGAUUGUAAACUCCUGUUGCCCGGGACGAAAUGCUUCGACCUAACACGUCGAAGUUUGACGGUACCGGGUGAGGAAGCCCCGGCUAACUCUGUGCCAGCAGCCGCGGUAAUACAGAGGGGGCAAGCGUUGUUCGGAAUUACUGGGCGUAAAGGGCGCGUAGGCGGCCUUCUAAGUCGAACGUGAAAUCCCCGGGCUCAACCCGGGAACUGCGUCCGAUACUGGAAGGCUUGAAUCCGGGAGAGGGAUGCGGAAUUCCAGGUGUAGCGGUGAAAUGCGUAGAUAUCUGGAGGAACACCGGUGGCGAAGGCGGCAUCCUGGACCGGCAUUGACGCUGAGGCGCGAAAGCCAGGGGAGCAAACGGG
Molecule: ribosomal RNA, 428 nt
Filed under: Fusobacteriota bacterium
Lineage: Bacteria; Fusobacteriati; Fusobacteriota
Description: Fusobacteria bacterium partial 16S ribosomal RNA
Rfam family: Bacterial small subunit ribosomal RNA
Source: RNAcentral